Molecule: non-coding RNA, 72 nt
Organism: Phrynosoma platyrhinos (Desert horned lizard)
Lineage: Eukaryota; Metazoa; Chordata; Lepidosauria; Squamata; Phrynosomatidae
Source: the annotation of a GenBank genome assembly
GCCAGUGUGGUGUAGUGGUCUAAGUGCUGGACUACAAAUCUGGAGACCAGGUUUUGAAUCCCUGCUUGGCCA